Long non-coding RNA from Lontra canadensis (Northern American river otter), 470 nucleotides. RefSeq lists it as uncharacterized. The record is from RefSeq and is a predicted model, not a curated record. Lineage: Eukaryota; Metazoa; Chordata; Mammalia; Carnivora; Mustelidae. The transcript is spliced from 2 exons.
GUUAAUGUUUGGAGUGUGCGUAUUUGAGAUAGGUCUGGAGAAGAAAGGUCACGGAGAAGGGGUGAUCCUGAGAAGAGUGUGCCUGUUUUGGAGAGUGUGGGAACUAACUCUUCAGGCUGUUGGCAUUCAUUCAUUUCUCUGAGAGCGCCUGAGUGGUUUUGUCCUAAGCGCAGGCCAUGAAUGAACGAGGAGGCUCAGGAGGUCAGAAAGGCCCCUUGAAAGUGGCACCUGGGCUUCCCUCCAGUUUGAGUGGGAGUGACUGACUUAGCAAGGAGACUGGCAUCCAAGCCUCAGACGAGAAUACAACACCGACAUGGAGGCCACACAAAUGCCAGGUGACACGGAGUUCAGGAUAGAACCAAGACUGAAGAGCACACGUUGGCAGGAUUCCCGGCUAGGUUCACUCUGACCUCAAAACUAACACAGAAAUGACUGAGUGACAAAAAAUAAAGAGAAUAUGAGCCACUGUA